GAUGAACGCUGGCGGCGUGCCUAAUACAUGCAAGUCGAGCGAACGGACGAGAAGCUUGCUUCUCUAAUGUUAGCGGCGGACGGGUGAGUAACACGUGGAAACCCAACCUUAAAAACUGGAAAACCUUGGGAAACCCUAACCUAAACCGGAAUAUAUUUUGAAACGGAAGGUUUCAAAGUGAGAGAAGGUUUUGCCGGUACCUAUAGAAGGAUUCGCGCUGCAUUAGCCAGUUGGUAAGGUAACGGCUUACCAAGGCAACGAUGCAUAGCCGACCUGAGAGGGUGAUCGGCCACACUGGAACUGAGACACGGUCCAGACUCCUACGGGAGGCAGCAGUAGGGAAUCUUCCGCAAUGGGCGAAAGCCUGACGGAGCAACGCCGCGUGAGUGAUGAAGGUCUUCGGAUCGUAAAACUCUGUUAUUAGGGAAGAACAUAUGUGUAAGUAACUGUGCACAUCUUGACGGUACCUAAUCAGAAAGCCACGGCUAACUACGUG
RNAcentral lists this ribosomal RNA (496 nucleotides) under uncultured bacterium. RNAcentral describes it as "partial 16S ribosomal RNA". It matches the Rfam family "Bacterial small subunit ribosomal RNA", at positions 28 to 507 of the family's 1533-position model. The record is from RNAcentral.